CCUACGGGGGGCAGCAGUGAGGAAUAUUGGUCAAUGGACGCAAGCCUGAACCAGCCAUGCCGCGUGCAGGAAGACGGCUCUAUGAGUUGUAAACUGCUUUUGUACGAGGGUAAACGCAGAUACGCGUAUCUGUCUGAAAGUAUCGUACGAAUAAGGAUCGGCUAACUCCGUGCCAGCAGCCGCGGUAAUACGGAGGAUUCAAGCGUUAUCCGGAUUUAUUGGGUUUAAAGGGUGCGUAGGCGGGCGGAUAAGUUAGAGGUGAAAUGCCGAGGCUCAACUUCGGAAUUGCCUCGGAUACUGUUCGGCUAGAGAGUAGUUGCGGUAGGCGGAAUGUAUGGUGUAGCGGUGAAAUGCUUAGAGAUCAUACAGAACACCGAUUGCGAAGGCAGCUUACCAAACUACGACUGACGUUGAGGCACGAAAGCGUGGGGAGCAAACAGGAUUAGAUACCCGAGUAGUC
This 460-nucleotide ribosomal RNA is filed under the name uncultured bacterium. RNAcentral describes it as "partial 16S ribosomal RNA". It matches the Rfam family "Bacterial small subunit ribosomal RNA", at positions 338 to 795 of the family's 1533-position model. The record is from RNAcentral.